Molecule: small RNA, 183 nt
Filed under: Solirubrobacterales bacterium
Lineage: Bacteria; Bacillati; Actinomycetota; Thermoleophilia; Solirubrobacterales
Description: c-di-AMP sequence
Rfam family: c-di-AMP riboswitch aptamer (ydaO/yuaA leader)
About the family: This family represents a conserved RNA structure found upstream of the ydaO and yuaA genes in Bacillus subtilis and related genes in other bacteria. The ydaO/yuaA element is thought to act as a genetic "off" switch for the ydaO and yuaA genes in its native state. It is believed that the element may be triggered during osmotic shock leading to activation of ydaO, a predicted amino acid transporter gene, and members of the yuaA-yubG operon which code for KtrA and KtrB K+ transporters.
Source: RNAcentral
GGCAAUCGUGCGCCGAGCUUCCCCGCCAGUCGGGGAAGGCGGGGAACCCAACCGCGACCGAUCCCGGUCGCAGCGGCCGAAAGUGGCCGCCGGGGUGAAUCCGGCGGUGAUCCGUCGGUAGGCCGGUCCAGGAAGGCCCGGACGAAUCCGUCAGCUAACUCCGCAGGCGCCUGAAAAGGAGAA